RNAcentral lists this microRNA precursor (75 nucleotides) under Podarcis lilfordi (Lilford's wall lizard). Lineage: Eukaryota; Metazoa; Chordata; Lepidosauria; Squamata; Lacertidae. The record is from RNAcentral.
UAUUUCUGGUCUCCCUUCCCUUUUUUAAAAGUCUCUAGGCCUGAGAGUUUUAAAAAAGGGAAGGAGACCAGAAAU